AGAUUGAACGCUGGCGGCAUGCCUUACACAUGCAAGUCGAACGGCAGCACGGGAGCAAUCCUGGUGGCGAGCGGCGAACGGGUGAGUAAUACAUCGGAACGUGCCCAGUAGUGGGGGAUAGCCCGGCGAAAGCCGGAUUAAUACCGCAUACGACCUACGGGUGAAAGCGGGGGAUCGCAAGACCUCGCGCUAUCGGAGCGGCCGAUGUCAGAUUAGCUAGUUGGUAGGGUAAAAGCCUACCAAGGCGACGAUCUGUGGCUGGUCUGAGAGGACGACCAGCCACACUGGGACUGGGACACGGCCCAGACUCCUACGGGAGGCAGCAGUGGGGAAUUUGGACAAUGGGCGCAAGCCUGAUCCAGCCAUGCCGCGUGCGGGAAGAAGGCCUUGGGUGUAACCGCUUUGUCAGGACGAACGCUCGAGUUAAUACCUCGAGUAAUGACGUACCUAGAAGAAUAAGCACGGACUAACUACGUGCCAGCAGCCGACGUAAUCGUGA
This 499-nucleotide ribosomal RNA is filed under the name uncultured soil bacterium. RNAcentral's name for it is "bacterial SSU rRNA". It matches the Rfam family "Bacterial small subunit ribosomal RNA", at positions 26 to 530 of the family's 1533-position model. The record is from RNAcentral.